GAGAGGAAGGUAUUUGGUUCUCUCUUAUCUUAUUCUCUCCUGGUAUCUUUUACUUCUCUAUCAACUUUAACAAUUGGUGAGAAGGACAAGAGGAUGUUAGAGCUAGAGAAUCAUGAAGUUGCUUGAGUUCAACUUGGAUGGAGAUGUGAUUGAGUUUCAUUGGUAGAUGUACAGGCUUAAAGGUGUAGUAAGUCAUCUAAACCCAAGAUUAUACGUUUAGUAAUCUGCCAAUAUCUGGAGAUCCGACCGUUAGAAUACUGUGAUGUAUUAAUAUGUUCUAGUAGUAUGAGCCAUCAUGCUACAGUAAAAAUUUCACGACGAUCGGGUGACAGUAGCUACUGAAAAACCUGAAUACAUUGGGACUGCGCGUUGCAAAAACAGGAAUCUUUCACAGCCCACUCAUCCGUCAUUAUUGCAAUAUGUGGUCAUCGGAUUGAAUACAAACUCUCAUAGUCUGAUCUAUAAAGUUUGUAGGGUGAAUGUCAUCGUUCAUGGAUGUGUAUUAGUACUGUUAUUUACAUAGUACCAUGUAAUGCUUACCUCUCAUGUGAGCCUCAUGAAAAAAUGUUGUUAUUCUAUUUUCUAUGAUACCAAGCUUUAAGUAAAUGGUGGCAAGGAAGAGCCACUAUGAUUCAUUCCUGUAAUAUCAGUACAAAUUACAUCUUAAGAGAUUGAACUUUGAACUGUGCUAAAAAAGUACAAAUUACAUUUUAAGAGAUUGAACUUUGAAUUGUGCUAAAAA
Molecule: long non-coding RNA, 742 nt
Organism: Papaver somniferum (opium poppy)
Lineage: Eukaryota; Viridiplantae; Streptophyta; Magnoliopsida; Ranunculales; Papaveraceae
Exons: 2
Source: RefSeq, a predicted model, not a curated record